CAGCAGCCACGGGAAUACAGAGGCCUCAAGCGUUGUUCGGAUUCAUUGGGCGUAAAGGGUGCGUAGGUGGCUUGGUAAGUUGAAGGUGAAAUCUCGGGGCUUAACCCCGAAACUGCCUUCAAUACUGCUAGGCUCGAGGACUGUAGAGGAGAAUGGAAUUCACGGUGUAGCAGUGAAAUGCGUAGAUAUCGUGAGGAAGACCAGUGGCGAAGGCGAUUCUCUGGGCAGUUCCUGACACUGAGGCACGAAGGCCAGGGGAGCAAACGGGAUUAGAGACCCGCGUAGUCCCUGUCUCUUAUAC
This 301-nucleotide ribosomal RNA is filed under the name uncultured bacterium. Its description in RNAcentral is "partial 16S ribosomal RNA". It matches the Rfam family "Bacterial small subunit ribosomal RNA", at positions 509 to 807 of the family's 1533-position model. The record is from RNAcentral.